UACUCGGAGUCCGAGUGAUGACCGCUAUUAUUGGGUCUAAAGCGUCCGUAGCCGGCUUUUUAAGUCCCUGGUGAAAUCUGGCAGCAAACUGUCAGGCGUGCUGGGGUUACUGAAGGGCUCGAGACCGGGAGAGGGCAUAGAUACUCGUGGGGUAGGGGUUAAAUCCUAUAAUCCUACGAGGAUCACCUGUGGCGAAGGCGUAUGCCUGGAACGGGUCUGACGGUGAGGGACGAAAGCUAGGGGAGCGAUCGGGAUUAGAAACCCCUGUAGU
Molecule: ribosomal RNA, 271 nt
Filed under: uncultured bacterium
Lineage: Bacteria
Description: partial 16S ribosomal RNA
Rfam family: Archaeal small subunit ribosomal RNA
Source: RNAcentral